Molecule: long non-coding RNA, 428 nt
Filed under: Monodelphis domestica (gray short-tailed opossum)
Lineage: Eukaryota; Metazoa; Chordata; Mammalia; Didelphimorphia; Didelphidae
Description: lncRNA (ENSMODG00000046373.1)
Source: RNAcentral
UUUACAGGUGAGGAAAAUGAGGCAAUCAGGAUUAAGUGCCUUGACCAGGGUCAAAAAGCUAGUAAAUAUCUGAAGCCAGAUUUGAACUCAUGAAGAGGAGUCUUCCUGUUCCAAGCCUAGUGCUCUAUCUACUGUGCCACCUAGCUGCCAUUCCAGCUGUCCUACUUACCUGUGAUGUACUUCCUGUGUGACCAUCCUAGCCAUGAUAAUCGUCAGGACUUAAUCAAGUCUUUAUUGAACUGAGAGGCAGUAAAGCUAGAAUCCUGGGAAUGGAGAUGAGAAAACUUGGGGAGAACAUCACCGGAGCUGCUUUUAAGUGUUUGAAGAGAUACCAUCUGGAAUCUAAACUGGAUGCCAAUGUGAAUGAAUUGAAGGAUGAAGCAAAUCUAAUAGAUUUUAAUCAAGAACAAUUUCCUCAAUUCAGAUAG